CCCCGGCGCGGGGCCCUGCGGUAGCCUCGGGCCCCUCCCCUGGACCCGCCGCAGAGCCAGUGCAGAAUACAGAAACUGCAGCCAUGACCACGCACGUCACCCUGGAAGAUGCCCUGUCCAACGUGGACCUGCUUGAAGAGCUUCCCCUCCCCGACCAGCAGCCAUGCAUCGAGCCUCCACCUUCCUCCAUCAUGUACCAGGCUAACUUUGACACAAACUUUGAGGACAGGAAUGCAUUUGUCACGGGCAUUGCAAGGUACAUUGAGCAGGCUACAGUCCACUCCAGCAUGAAUGAGAUGCUGGAGGAAGGACAUGAGUAUGCGGUCAUGCUGUACACCUGGCGCAGCUGUUCCCGGGCCAUUCCCCAGGUGAAAUGCAAUGAGCAGCCCAACCGAGUAGAGAUCUAUGAGAAGACAGUGGAGGUGCUGGAGCCGGAGGUCACCAAGCUCAUGAAGUUCAUGUAUUUUCAGCGCAAGGCCAUCGAGCGGUUCUGCAGCGAGGUGAAGCGGCUGUGCCAUGCCGAGCGCAGGAAGGACUUUGUCUCUGAGGCCUACCUCCUGACCCUGGGCAAGUUCAUCAACAUGUUUGCUGUCCUGGAUGAGCUAAAGAACAUGAAGUGCAGCGUCAAGAAUGACCACUCUGCCUACAAGAGGGCAGCACAGUUCCUGCGGAAGAUGGCAGAUCCCCAGUCUAUCCAGGAGUCGCAGAACCUUUCCAUGUUCCUGGCCAACCACAACAGGAUCACCCAGUGUCUCCACCAGCAACUUGAAGUGAUCCCAGGCUAUGAGGAGCUGCUGGCUGACAUUGUCAACAUCUGCGUGGAUUACUACGAGAACAAGAUGUACCUGACCCCCAGUGAGAAACAUAUGCUCCUCAAGGUAAAACUCCCCUGAGGCCGCACCCAUGGAGCCUGGGCUUACCCUCUCACCUUCUUAUUAAAAAUCCAUUUUAAAAAACAAUGUUUCUUCUUUCUUAAACAUUGAUACAGAUCUUACGGCACAUAAUGGUUUGUAACCUGUUCCUUUCCUGUAAUAUAAUAUACCGUAGUCACCUUUCCAGAUGUCAUUAAGGCUAUUUCUACAAUGUUAUGUGUAAUGACUGCCAAGUAUUCCAUUGUAUUGGAACAUUGUCAUGUAACAUAUCCCCUGUGGUUGGAUAUUUGUUUGCUAAACUUCAUUGAACACCCUUGUAGCAGUUUUUGUGCACAUCUUUUUGUCAAGGCAAACUUCCUAGAAGAGAAAUUGCUGGCUCAAAGGGUAAAACAGAAUAAAUCUUUUUUUUUAUUUCAAUA
Molecule: small RNA, 1291 nt
Filed under: Pan troglodytes (chimpanzee)
Lineage: Eukaryota; Metazoa; Chordata; Mammalia; Primates; Hominidae
Description: retained intron
Source: RNAcentral